AAAUGUUCAUAGUGUCUUUUUGAAUCAAUAUUUAAACUAACUUAUUAUUCUUGAAUGAACAAAGAAAGAAUGGAUAUAGGAAACUAUCCAUUUAGUAAACAAAAAAAUAUUAACUACGGUAAUUAUCACACUCAUUUCACGGACGUUAGAAUAACCUCGACUUUGACAGGCGUAGCCCUAAAUUCUGUCUAUAUAAGGCUAUGGUAGUCAUAUCGUUAGAAACAUUCUUGUGACAAGCAGCAAGUUAUAAUUACUUACGUUUAUUUACCCUGUAUCUUCAUCAUGUUUAAACAGAUGACUUUCAUCAUGUCGGGUAACUCAAAUUCUAUUUAUUGUAUUUUUUUAUAUUAUCAGGUGGCGAACUAGCAAACGGGCAACUGAAUUCAAAAUGGCGAAGCGACCGCUGCCCAUAGACAUCCGCAAUUGCAGAUGCGUCGCCUACCCUUAAUCGACUCAUUGAGGAGGCGUACAUAAACAGGAUAUUCCCCUUCCUGUGCGUCUUCUCAGCCGUCUAUUAAGAAGAGGGUGGACAGUAAAAGGGACUAAAAUUAGGCUUAUAGUAUAACAACUCUUGAUUACUUAAAUUUUCUACUUUUGUAAUUUAUUGCAGUGAUGUAUAUUUCAAUUUGACAGACAUUAUAUUACCCUAAAAAAAUUAGAUACUGUGUAAUGGAACAAGACUUAUUGACUGCUGCUGAUUGAUAUUGUGGACCUACACGUGGAUUCUUUUUUGCAAGCAAACGCAUAACAUGUUUCAUUAGCCAUUCUUCGACAAAAAUUCACUCUAAGCACCAGAGUUACGGUAUAAAAGCGUUGAUGUUUGGUUUAGCUAAAAAUAUUUUAAACACUGUCCAAAUUCUUAAGUAUCUAAGAUGUUUUUGAUAUAUUUUCUUUUAACAGUUGGUCUGAUAGUUAUGUCUACGAGUACCAGCCGCGCCGCUGGAGCUAGCCUCGAAGAUGGACUAGGUGGUAUGACCAUGCCUGAAGGAAUGACUCAACCAACGACACCGAUGCCUCAAGAUUUUACAUGUCUUACGAAUUGUCUCCUCAAGUCGACUUCUCUGUCCAGUUCGCUUGCCUUACGACAAUGUGCAGAGAAAUGUAACGUAGAUUUAAACUAAACGGGUGCACAAAAAGGUUCAUGUCGAGCACCAGCACAAUUUAUAAUAUCCUGUUUUAAUUUUUUAAAUAAAU
Molecule: long non-coding RNA, 1194 nt
Organism: Papilio polytes (common Mormon)
Lineage: Eukaryota; Metazoa; Arthropoda; Insecta; Lepidoptera; Papilionidae
Exons: 3
Source: RefSeq, a predicted model, not a curated record